RNAcentral lists this ribosomal RNA (157 nucleotides) under Mycena sp. F14061. RNAcentral describes it as "5.8S ribosomal RNA". It matches the Rfam family "5.8S ribosomal RNA". Rfam says of the family: 5.8S ribosomal RNA (5.8S rRNA) is a component of the large subunit of the eukaryotic ribosome. It is transcribed by RNA polymerase I as part of the 45S precursor that also contains 18S and 28S rRNA. The record is from RNAcentral. Lineage: Eukaryota; Fungi; Basidiomycota; Agaricomycetes; Agaricales; Mycenaceae. RNAcentral also lists the same sequence under 4 other names.
CAACUUUCAGCAACGGAUCUCUUGGCUCUCCCAUCGAUGAAGAACGCAGCGAAAUGCGAUAAGUAAUGUGAAUUGCAGAAUUCAGUGAAUCAUCGAAUCUUUGAACGCACCUUGCGCCCUUUGGUAUUCCGAAGGGCAUGCCUGUUUGAGUGUCAUU